Cucumis melo (muskmelon) is the source of this 6789-nucleotide RNA transcript. It is a transcript of the gene named CRAL-TRIO domain-containing protein C23B6.04c-like, with no coding region annotated. The transcript has 7 exons. Lineage: Eukaryota; Viridiplantae; Streptophyta; Magnoliopsida; Cucurbitales; Cucurbitaceae. The record is from RefSeq and is a predicted model, not a curated record.
CUAUAUAAUAAAUUAGGGUUCCUUCCCGCCAUGCUCAUCCGAGAUAUGUUUCCCUCGUUUCCCUUCAUUGACUCUGAUUUUUGCUCUGCGGGCCAUGAUAGAUUAGCGUUUAUGAUCUGUCGUCGCGGAAUAUUGGACGCCAAUGAAAAAUUCCGGCCAGUAUGGUUGUUCCCUUGUUCUUUCCCUUGUUUUUUCUUGUGGUGGAGAUCCAAGUUCAGGUUCGUCUCAUAUAAAUUUCCAGAUCUAGUUGUCUAUCCACCGUCUUCAGUUUGAUGGGGUCGGUGUUUGCAGUGCGGUGUAACGUCUUUCGUAAAUAACAGGGUUUUGACCAGAUGAUCUAGGCCUUCUGCGGUUGUAUUACAAGUCUGCAUGGAUUCUUUAAUACAAGGCAAAUGGGGAAUUUCUUUAUAAAAGCGAGGAGAAAACGAUCUCUCGGAUUUGCUGCUACCUUCAGUGGUUUUUGGCAGUUACCUUAUGUAAUUUCAUCAAGGGAAGGUUGAUUUGAUUAGAGUAUUGUCGUGGAUGUAUAAGAUAUCAGACCGAACCACCCUAUUUUAUUAGGGAGGCGGUUUCUGAUCGAUCUUUGUCAUCCGACCUUUGCCAUGACAGGUGCGCUUGCAUGGCAGGUCAACUACGUUAAUGAAAAAAAAGUUUUUUGGGUUUUGAGGAGGGAUCGCACGGGGAUUGCCCGGGGUUCCUUCUCUUUGGUGUGUGCCGUUUCCUCUCUCUCUUUUAUCUCUGUGCAUAAUAUUAUGCGUUGCUGCCCGCAGUUGCUUGCAUCCCCAGGGAUUGCUUGCUCGAUCGUUCUUGCCCAACACGUGCCCGUUCUUGCUCAAUUUUUUGAUCUCAAAUGAAUUCGUUGGCAAAGGUAAAAACAGUAAAACAACAGCGUUGGUAAGUAGAAUAAUAUAUUAACUCUGAUUAGGCUUCUAUAUAUUCGCCGGUACAAAAUCUCUACACGUUGCUUAGCGUGGUCUCAUUAGUAUUCGUGCGCUUUUUUAUAGUGUAGUUCUAUCUGUUCUCUUGGCUACAUGGGUAGUCUUACUGAGAGUUGUGUUCGGGUUAAUAACAGCUAUAUUUUCUAGGGCUAAAACCGAAGUUUCGUCCUCUCACAAUUGCUAGUCGUGUUAAUUUUUAAUCAAAUUCCAAAUGGAACAUUUUUUCCGGUUAAUUUACAAUUCUUCUUUAGAUUUUCGAACCCCGUAAAUGUGGAAACGUAGUAAAGAGAACAAAGAACCCUACAAGUGAGACGAGUGUUUAAUUGCUAGAUUUUUAAUGACCAGAAUGAAAAAAACCAAAGGGUUAUCACAUGGUUUUGGAUACUGGUUUUGUGAAGUUCCUGUUCAAAAUAUAUUCAAACGAGUAUUGCGUAGAUUUAGUUGGUCUUUGCGUUCAGAUUUUUGCUGUCAGCACACAAGGAAAAUUAUUAAUUUCUCCAGAAUCCUAUUUGUCACUUCUCAUUUAUGUUGAAUAUAUAUAUUGUGUGCAUUCUGUCCACAGGAUUGAGUGAAUUGUGUUUGUGAACGUUAAAUUAUGGUACUUGAUGUAAACGUUGUUAGUCCAAGCAUGAAUUUGUAUGUAGUCUGUAUUUUGUUACAACUGUAUUGUAAAGCACAUGGAAAGGAUGGACGAAGAACUUGUAUUGGACGGGUCACCUGGAUUGCUCUUUGCCGUUGCUGAGCUGUUGGGCCUGCAGAUAUCUGUGAAUUUUCGAGUGUGAAAUGGAAUCAUUCUUUCUUGGUAACUUCAAUUUUUGGAUUGUCAUUUAAUCAAGCAAUCGUUCUUUCUCGGUAACUUGUCAUUUAAUUAAAGCAGUUGCGUUUAGAAACUAUGUUCAAACUUUUUUCCUGAGUUAUGUUUUUUCUUUUAAAAAAGUCUAUUUAGAAAAUAUAUAUAAUAUUCGAAUCUGUUUGUUUCAGAUUAAUUUAUGUAAUGUUGUUUUUGAGUAUUGAAGCUUUCUUAGCCAAAUGAGCUAUGUUCAUCUGGAGUUUGUUUUCAAAUGUCUAUGGAGUUUGUAACUCGAUGAAAUCCUUUUUACAUUUGACCCUUUAGUACUAAGUUUAACAUGCGAAGUUCUUAUGUGUUUGUGUAUAGUGGGAGGUGAUAUCCAAUUUCACCAGAGAAUUCAUUUCAUGUAGGGGGAACUGAUCUUUCUAUUCGUUGAGGACAAAGAUCUCUGACUCGACAUAGUGGUUUGCUUUAUAAUAUAUUAAUGCUGUGUUAAUAAUUCAUAUCAUUUGGUGAAAGAUGUUCCUUCAAGUUUAUAGACAUUUUAUGCAAUUACGUGUUCUUUAGGAUUCAAAGAUCAACGAGUGAUAUUUUGCUAUUGGUGGGAGGCGCAUUUUAAUUAUGUCAGAAUUUAUCUUAUUUGGUUGGAGAUGACGAUGCUAUAUGUUCAAGGUUUUUAAUCUUGCACUUCGGUUUGAUGUCAAAUCUUAUGUGCAUUUCAAGGUUUAAAGAUAAAGUGGGAGGAAAUCGACUCUGUUGGAAGCACAUAUCAUUGAUUGUCUAGUGAUGAAGAUUUUGUACUCAACCUUCAAGACGGUUAUAAUAGUAGUUGAAUGUUUUUGGGUUUGUAGGUUGCUUUAAGUGGGAUUUCAAACCGCUCUGGCUCUUUGUGGUUUUGUGAGACUUAUUCAUGCAUUCAAGAUUUUACUAGCCUGACCUUGUAAUGUUAAAUUGUGCUCAAUUGAGAUCAAGGAUGGUGAGAGGUCAUAUUUCCUCCUGUGGGGAACUCAUUAUCAUUUGUCAACCAAUGCUUCUAUUUGUUUAAUAUUUUCAUCAUAACACUCUUUUUUAGAACUUUUUUAAUGUUCGAAAAGUAGCUGGGAAGCUCAUAUUAUUUGGUGAAAGGUGAUCCUCCCAGGUCUUCAAAAGCUUAUAUCAUUUUGUGCUCCAAGGUUCCAUCAAAACGCUUUUAAUCCAACCAUGAAUGAUCUAGGAUUUGAAGAUCGUCGGGAACUAGUUUCUUAAAUUUCUGGCAUCUCCCAAGGUGUUUUUUGAAGUUCAAUGGAGAUGUUAUAAUUAUCAAGCAGGCUCAUAUCAAUUGGGCACUUGUUUUUUGACUUCGGCAACCCUGAGGUGUUUGAAGUUCGACGGAGAUGUUAAUAGUUCUCAUAAAAAACAAUCCUGCAAGGCUUGAAGAUGGGUGAUGGCUUGCUUUUGAACUUUUGUGCAAUUUAUGCAUUUUUGUCAAAAUCCUCCUUACAUGUAGGUGUUGUAUCAUUUUCUGAAUACGAAGUGUUAUAUUUGCCGAGGAUUGGUGGAAGCUGUUAUUGAAUUCUGUGAGAGUUUAUUUCAUUUUCGGUAAGAGAUAUAUUGAUAUUUGCUUUUGACAUCUAACGUAUCACUUCAUUUUGAUCUUAGAUUGUAUGUGUAUCUAAGGUUCUGGGAUUUGGAAAUAAUCUCCUACUCUCUUAAAAGAACAUAUGGUUUAUAAGAGACGAUUUUGGCUUGUGAUCAUGAUUCGACAACCAAUUCCUCACGACCAAUUCUUCAGGUUGUUUGUUUAGAUCAAUAUCUACUGUCUGAAAAUUGAGGAAAGUGGAUUUCCUAACCUCUAUGGAUUUUGUAAACUUUCAAAUUCCUUUGUGUAUAACCAUGUGAAACUGAGUUCAAUGUAUGAUUGUCGCAGUUGAAGAAUUGUUGGAGGGCAUGUUCAGUUCCAAUCUCUUGGUAAGAGACUUUCCUUUCUAUCUCGCAAAAUGAGUUUCUAAAUUUUAGAUGUUUUGUUUGAUGUUGGAAGGAAUUCCAUAAGACUGUUGACAACUGUGCCUUGCUUGAGCAUAUUUUAUGGUUUGGCGAUUAUUGGAUAGCGAUCUCCAAUUCCUUUAGAGGCUCAUAUAGUCUGCCCGGUGAUUGUUUUUGAAAUGUUCUGGAGGUAUCUAACCUAAUCAUUGGAGUUAUUUAUCUUAUGUAUGGUGAACUUUCUAAAGGUUUGGAUGAUCUCCGUUGAGGUGAGAUUUUCCUGUAUUACAGGUCUCUAAUCUAUUCCAAGAGGUUUUUAUUCUUAGGGUUUCUUUUUUUUUUUUUUUUUUUGAUGUUGUCGAAUUAGUUUACAGGAUUCCAGAGUAACGAGAAAGAAGAUACAUCCAAAAAACAUACAUGUUCAUUAGCAUGUCUCCUUCGGUUACGGUUACCUUCUGUAUAUACUUGAAAAGAAAAAGUACCUUUUGUUGGAAAUUGCAAAAAUACUAUCACUUUUGUGAGCAAUAUUUUUUGCUUUAGAUUGGCAUUUAUUCCUUUUCCUUUCUUUCCGUUUCUUAAAAAUGGGGGAUAAGAUCUAUUGAGCGAGGAAACUUUAUUUUCUAGAGGUUUCUAGGCUGCUCUCGGAUGUAAGCUGUAGAACCAUACGAAAGCAUAAAUCUUAACUUGUGCUUCUUGUGCUUCAAAAGAGUUCCAUGGGAGGAGUAGAUACAUCUAAAUAGUUAUUAGUCUUCUGUGCAUCUAUUUAAAUGAAAUAAAAAAGUUUAUCUCCAAGUCUCAUUUGUAGGCGAUCGGUAGUGCAGACUAAAUGGUCGUUGAAAUAUUUCCAAAUGAUAUUCUAAUAUAUAGAUAAAUAGAACAAUAAUGUAAAAUAGAAUAGAAGUCUUGUACAAUAAUGUAAGGUAGUUUAGCUAGUUCAAGAAAUAUAUAUGUAUAUAUAGCCUCGAGAUUGGAAUUGACCACAGGGUUUAUAUUUUUUUGUUAUACAAAAGAAAGACAACGUAUUUGACGAAAAUGAAUCAAAAGGAUUAUUCGGUUGUUGGGGGGCCAGCUAGCACCUAGUUGGCUCCGCUGUUAGUUGUUGAUAUAUGGCUUUCCUCUUAUUAAUAUGGAUUAUUAAAGAUGGGCAUCCCUAAUUUCAACUUCCCUGCAUUCAGUUUAAUUCUAUUUAAUACCCAUCAAAUCAAAAUCUCUCUCAACCAAAAAAAAAGAAAAAAACAAACAAAAGAAAGUUGGCCAUUGUCGCUAAUUGGUUUAUUAAGUAAAUACCAGAAAUAAACUGAAAUGAAUAAAAAAAAGGUGAAAUUAUAACAAUUUAUCUUAAAAUAAGAUUUUAAUUGGGUGAGAUUAAAAGUUAACGAUAUAGCAUGACAAUUGAUAAGGUGAGCAUUUCUGUCAUUUUGUGUUGAGAGAAAAAUGUCGAAAAGUGGUAAAUGGGACAUUCAUGAAAAAUAAAAUGUAGUAUGGCUUUUUGUAUCGUUUAUUUUAUUGUUUGUAGAAAAAAUAUUUCUUGUUUCCACUUAGUCAGAUUAUUAGUAGGGGUGGGAGCGUUAGCGAACGGUUUUGGAAUGGAGACAACUAAAAGAGGAAGUAGAUUUUCCACUAUAGGAUCAACAGGAACUAUUAUUUCAUUAUCAAUUUUCAUGCAUAAUGAGUUAAUAUCAAUAGUCAGUAGUGCCAGCGGGAGCUGAGGACAAGUCCAAGGUGAAGUUAGGUUGAAUUCGCUGUUUGUGUGUAUUGAGCAUGUUUCUUCUUAAAAGAAGAGGCUCCCAUAACAAUGGAGAAACUGAUGAUUCUUCCCAGCAGGAUGGGAAGAUCACUGAACUAAGAGGUGCCUUGGGGCACCUAUCCGGUCGCAGUUUAAAGUACUGUAAUGAUGCCUGCCUUCGAAGAUAUUUGGCUGUGCGGAAUUGGGAUCUUCAUAAAGCAAAGAAAAUGGUGGAGGACUCGCUCAAAUGGAGGGCAACCUAUAAGCCCGAGGAAAUCAGAUGGCAUGAAGUAGCACAUGAAGGUGAAACAGGCAAAUCUUUUAGAGCAAAUUUCUACGACCGUUUCGGUCGAACAGUGCUCAUAUCCAGGCCAGGAAUGCAGAAUACAAACUCGCCGGAAGACAAUGUUCGACAUGUGGUGUAUCUUUUAGAGAACACCAUUUUGAACCUUCGUAAUGGCCAAGAACAGAUAGCGUGGCUGAUAGAUUUUACUGGAUUUACAAUGAACACCAACAUCUCUGUCAAAGCAGCAAGAGGGAUUAUUAACAUACUACAGAGCCACUAUCCAGAAAGGCUUGCUAUUUAAUUUCUCUACAACCCUCCAAGAAUCUUUCAAGCCUUUUGGAAGGCUAUCAGGUAUUUUAUCGAUUCAAAGACAGGUCAGAAAGUACAUUUCAUAUACCCCAACAACAAGGAUAGUGUAGAGCUAAUGAAAUCUUUCUUCGAUAUGGAGAACCUUCCAAGUGUAUUUGGAGGAAAAGCCACUCUAACAUAUGACCAUGAAGAGUUCUCAAAAAUGAUGGCAAUGGACGACAUCAAAACUGCCAAACUUUGGGAGUUGAACGACAAGCCUUCCCAUAAUAAUAUGAAUGGGCAUCCAGGCCUAGAGGCCGCACAAGAAGAGGGAAUACCGAUCUCCGUUUCUUCGGAUUAGAAAGGAGAUUAUAACGGAAACGGCCGUGAAAAGGGAAGGCUUUGUUGGAUUCCUGUAGGGACAAAGGAAGGCAGCACACAACACGUUAUUUUAUUCAACUGCACGGUGUAUUUACAUAGUGUUGCUUUGAUAUAUUCUGAUUACGGUGGAGUUCGUAGUUCAAGACCUGUGUGGUCAGGGCAUAAACCAUGCCAAAAUCCCAAGGCUAUGGCUUAGGCAGAUCCUCAAGAACAACAUGUGCAGCAUUGCGACCCGGUGCCCCCAUGACACCACCUCCAGGAUGCGACCCGCUACCGCAUAGGUACAAUCCUUUAAUCGGUGUCCUAUGAUUUGACCUGCAGUACAUGGAACAGAUAUUUCUUCUGUAAAAAUUGGAGGAAUACCAUAGAUUUUCAAACUAUUUAUUAAAAUAGAAUAGUUCUAAAACUAUUCAUUAAAAUA